Long non-coding RNA from Poecilia latipinna (sailfin molly), 964 nucleotides. RefSeq lists it as uncharacterized. The transcript has 3 exons. The record is from RefSeq and is a predicted model, not a curated record. Lineage: Eukaryota; Metazoa; Chordata; Actinopteri; Cyprinodontiformes; Poeciliidae.
GACAGGCUGGCGACGCCAUCUGGCUCGUCGUAAACAUUCUCCCAGUACGAGUUCAGUCCCAGGGUCCCCUGGGGGAGCGGUCCAAACAGGGUCAGACCUCACUGACACCACGUCGAAAGCCAAGCGGACCCCGCAGCAGCGCCAAGGAGCUCAGGGCAACGUUUUGGCACUGGUCUGCCAGGGACAGAAGCGAGACAACCAGGUUUGGCGGAGGGAGCGUGGAGGGUCAUCCUAAUGGAGAUGUGAUUUUGCACAUAUUGACAGUGAAUGCUGUGGGACGCCGAGCGUGAGAGGACCGGUUCGUUUUAUUACGAUUGACUGCUGUUGAUUUUCUACUAAAUGCUGCACUCAUGCAUUAAAAGGAGACAUUUAUUUAUGUUGAUUUUAGCUUUUUAAACUGUCCCUCAGGAGUAUGUCUGAUAUAUGUGUUGGUAAUUAUUUGUGCGACCUUUGUUUGACCAAAAUAACCUUUCUGAACGUUUGUAGUUUAGGAGAAGAGCGAAAGAAAUAGUGGAAUCCUUUUGCUCAACAUCAGCAAUAAGAUAGAAAAAAAAUGCUUUUAGUUACAUUGUUGUGAAGUUUGUCCCAAUGAGAUUACUUAUGCUAUUGCUUGUUUGUUACACUUGAGUGUUUCAGAUCAUUAAGACGUAGUUUGAUUAGAGAAACAAAGGCUGAGUAAAUAUAGAAAGCAAUUUUCAAAAUUAACUUAAAAAAGUUAUCAAAACUAACUAACCAACUUAACGUCAAAAAGCAACUGUCUCUUCAACCUGAUGAAGAGUUUUUUUUUUUUUUUUUUUGCAUCACUGUAGAAGAAUUUGAAAAUCUGGAUAUUUUUUUUUUAACCAAUGCACUUCUUUUGUUUCCGUAGUUCAGACUGAUGUUAGCCAACCCCAACAACUAGCAGCUUGUAUGACCACCAUGUUUUACAGCUUAAAGAAGGAAUGAUUGAAAUAAAAGCCAGUUU